AAAGACUCAAUUCUUGGGUUUCCAUCUCCAAUGUUUGACCGUCCGUCUUAUAUAAUUUUUUUUUAUGAUUAGUAUUUUCAUUAUUGUUAGAUGAUAAAACAUGAAUAAUACAUUAUGCAUGAUUUAUCUUUUUAAUUUUUUUUCAUAUUUUUUAAUAUAAGACGGAUGGUCAAACGUUAAACACAGAAACCUAGGAAUUGAGUUUUU
Oryza glumipatula is the source of this 207-nucleotide non-coding RNA. The record is from Rfam. NCBI's taxonomy places the organism in Eukaryota, Viridiplantae, Streptophyta, Magnoliopsida, Poales, Poaceae.